RNAcentral lists this ribosomal RNA (468 nucleotides) under uncultured bacterium. RNAcentral's name for it is "partial 16S ribosomal RNA". It matches the Rfam family "Bacterial small subunit ribosomal RNA", at positions 28 to 507 of the family's 1533-position model. The record is from RNAcentral.
GAUGAACGCUGGCGGCGUGCUUAACACAUGCAAGUCGAACGGUGAAGGCGGAGCUUGCUCUGCUGGAUCAGUGGCGAACGGGUGAGUAACACGUGAGCAAUCUGCCCCUGACUCUGGGAUAAGCGCUGGAAACGGCGUCUAAUACUGGAUACGAGCUGCGAAGGCAUCUUCAGCAGCUGGAAAGACCGUCGGUCAGGGAUGAGCUCGCGGCCUAUCAGCUUGUUGGUGAGGUAACGGCUCACCAAGGCGUCGACGGGUAGCCGGCCUGAGAGGGUGACCGGCCACACUGGGACUGAGGGACGGCCCAGACUCCUACGGGAGGCAGCAGUGGGGAAUAUUGCACAAUGGGCGAAAGCCUGAUGCAGCAACGCCGCGUGAGGGACGACGGCCUUCGGGGUGUAAACCUCUUUUAGCAGGGAAGAAGCGAAAGUGACGGUACCGGCAGAAAAAGCGCCGGCUAACUACGUG